GGUGGGCACCGAGGCGGUGCUGGAACUGGCCGGCGGUGGACGGCGGAACUGGAACUGCGGCGGCAAGGUAAGAUCUAUGCGGCAGCAGGUUUGGGGGUGGAAGUCGCCGGUGAGAGGAGUGGUUCCGGCGGCGGUGAGAGCUCCCAAGUGCACAAAUCUAUAUGAGUUGAGUUGUGUUUCGGGACGGAUGAAAAACCUGCCAAGUAUUUUCGAUCUUCUUGUUCUGCAUCUCUCCUUAUUAUUCUCCACGAAAACCUGCCAAGUAUGUCAACCGCCCGGCUAGCUAGAGACCGCCAAUGUCGCUUC
Molecule: non-coding RNA, 306 nt
Organism: Brachypodium distachyon (stiff brome)
Lineage: Eukaryota; Viridiplantae; Streptophyta; Magnoliopsida; Poales; Poaceae
Source: RefSeq, marked provisional